Molecule: ribosomal RNA, 497 nt
Filed under: uncultured bacterium
Lineage: Bacteria
Description: partial 16S ribosomal RNA
Rfam family: Bacterial small subunit ribosomal RNA
Source: RNAcentral
GAUGAACGCUGGCGGCGUGCCUAAUACAUGCAAGUCGAGCGAACAGAUGAGGAGCUUGCUCCUCUGACGUUAGCGGCGGACGGGUGAGUAACACGUGGAUAACCUACCUAUAAGACUGGGAUAACUUCGGGAAACCGGAGCUAAUACCGGAUAAUAUAUUGAACCGCAUGGUUCAAUAGUGAAAGACGGUUUUGCUGUCACUUAUAGAUGGAUCCGCGCCGCAUUAGCUAGUUGGUAAGGUAACGGCUUACCAAGGCAACGAUGCGUAGCCGACCUGAGAGGGUGAUCGGCCACACUGGAACUGAGACACGGUCCAGACUCCUACGGGAGGCAGCAGGAGGGAAACUUCCGCAAUGGGCGGAAGCCUGACGGAGCAACGCCGCGUGAGUGAUGAAGGUCUUCGGAUCGUAAAACUCUGUUAUUAGGGAAGAACAAAUGUGUAAAUAACUAUGCACGUCUUGACGGUACCUAAUCAGAAAGCCACGGCUAACUACGUG